GACGAACGCUGGCGGCGUGCUUAACACAUGCAAGUCGAACGGAAAGGCCCUGCUUUUGUGGGGUGCUCGAGUGGCGAACGGGUGAGUAACACGUGAGUAACCUGCCCUUGACUUUGGGAUAACUUCAGGAAACUGGGGCUAAUACCGGAUAGGAGCUCCUGCUGCAUGGUGGGGGUUGGAAAGUUUCGGCGGUUGGGGAUGGACUCGCGGCUUAUCAGCUUGUUGGUGGGGUAGUGGCUUACCAAGGCUUUGACGGGUAGCCGGCCUGAGAGGGUGACCGGCCACAUUGGGACGGGGAUACGGCCCAGACUCCUACGGGAGGCAGCAGUGGGGAAUAUGGCACAAUGGGCGGAAGCCUGAUGCAGCAACGCCGCGUGCGGGAUGACGGCCUUCGGGUUGUAAACCGCUUUCGCCUGUGACGAAGCGUGAGUGACGGUAAUGGGUAAAGAAGCACCGGCGAACUACGU
RNAcentral lists this ribosomal RNA (467 nucleotides) under uncultured bacterium. RNAcentral's name for it is "partial 16S ribosomal RNA". It matches the Rfam family "Bacterial small subunit ribosomal RNA", at positions 28 to 506 of the family's 1533-position model. The record is from RNAcentral.